CCCUUAGAUGUUCUGGGCCGCACGCGCGCUACACUGUUCGACGCAGCGAGUCUUAACCUUGACCGAAAUGUUUGGGUAAUCUUCAGCAAAGUCGAACGUGAUGGGGAUCGAUCAUUGCAAUUAUUGAUCGUGAACGAGGAAUUCCUAGUAAGUGCAAGUCAUCAGCUUGCGCUGAUUACGUCCCUGCCCUUUGUACACACCGCCCGUCGCUACUACCGAUUGAAUGGUUUAGUGAGAUCUCUGGAUUGACGCUGGCUAGGGGGCGACCCUUGGCCAGACUGCUCGAGAAACUGCUCAAACUUGAUCAUUUAGAGGAAGUAAAAGUCGUAACA
RNAcentral lists this ribosomal RNA (332 nucleotides) under uncultured eukaryote. Its description in RNAcentral is "partial 18S ribosomal RNA". It matches the Rfam family "Eukaryotic small subunit ribosomal RNA", at positions 1470 to 1796 of the family's 1831-position model. The record is from RNAcentral.